Molecule: ribosomal RNA, 427 nt
Filed under: uncultured bacterium
Lineage: Bacteria
Description: partial 16S ribosomal RNA
Rfam family: Bacterial small subunit ribosomal RNA
Source: RNAcentral
UGGGGAAUAUUGCACAAUGGGCGCAAGCCUGAUGCAGCCAUGCCGCGUGUAUGAAGAAGGCCUUCGGGUUGUAAAGUACUUUCAGCGAGGAGGAAGGCGGUAAGGUUAAUAACCUUAUCGAUUGACGUUACUCGCAGAAGAAGCACCGGCUAACUCCGUGCCAGCAGCCGCGGUAAUACGGAGGGUACAAGCGUUAAUCGGAAUUACUGGGCGUAAAGCGCACGCAGGCGGUCUGUCAAGUCGGAUGUGAAAUCCCCGGGCUCAACCUGGGAACUGCAUUCGAAACUGGCAGGCUAGAGUCUUGUAGAGGGGGGUAGAAUUCCAGGUGUAGCGGUGAAAUGCGUAGAGAUCUGGAGGAAUACCGGUGGCGAAGGCGGCCCCCUGGACAAAGACUGACGCUCAGGUGCGAAAGCGUGGGGAGCAAACA